Molecule: long non-coding RNA, 690 nt
Organism: Cyprinus carpio (common carp)
Lineage: Eukaryota; Metazoa; Chordata; Actinopteri; Cypriniformes; Cyprinidae
Exons: 4
Source: RefSeq, a predicted model, not a curated record
GCUGAAUAGUUUGUAAGCUGACAGAGAAAAAGCUAUUCAGUUCUAGCUACUGUUCUCUCCUCCCAAACCCAUCCUGAAAGAGUUGAACCUGAACAACAGCCGUCUGCUGGACUCAGGAGUCAAAAGAGAUCUGUGAGGACUGAAGAAUCCUGUGUGUGAGCUGAAGAUACUCAAGCUGAGCAACUGUGAUCUAAAUGAGGAAAGCUGUUCAGCUCUCAAUUCAGUUCUCAGUUCAGCCUCUAGCAGUCUGAAGGAGCUUUGACCUGAGCAAUAAUAAUCUGAAGGAUUCAGGAGUGAAGCUGCUGUCUAAUGCACUGAAAGAGAAUUGCAAACUAGAGAAAACUCAGACUUUCAGAGUGCAGUAUCACUGAAGAAGGUUAUAAAGCUCUGGCUUCAGCUCUGAGAUCAAAACCUUCACACCUGAUAGAGCUGGACCUCACAGGAAAUGAUCCUGGACAAUCAGGAGUGAAGCAGCUCAGUGAUGUUACUACAGGGAUGAAUGCUUUACAAUAAAGAAAAUCAGCUUUUUGAAAAGUCCUGCUGCACAGGAAGCGUGCAAGUAUCUCACUAAAGUUCUGGGUAAAAGUCCAUUACUACUGACAGAACUGGAUCUGAGUGAAGAUGAAUUAAGAGAUCUGGAUGGAGAGAAACUCUCUGCUCUUUUGAUGGAAUCUCAUAGCAAACUGGAGA